GGGUGAAGUUCAGUCUGGAUACUCUAGAGGCCCUGGCCCAGAAGAGGGCCAAUCCUGUC
Molecule: non-coding RNA, 59 nt
Filed under: uncultured Synechococcus sp.
Lineage: Bacteria; Bacillati; Cyanobacteriota; Cyanophyceae; Synechococcales; Synechococcaceae
Description: psbNH RNA
Rfam family: psbNH RNA
Source: RNAcentral